RNAcentral lists this ribosomal RNA (215 nucleotides) under Campeiostachys nutans. RNAcentral's name for it is "Elymus nutans partial small subunit ribosomal RNA". The stretch from base 46 to 215 matches the Rfam family "Eukaryotic small subunit ribosomal RNA", at positions 693 to 864 of the family's 1831-position model. The record is from RNAcentral. Lineage: Eukaryota; Viridiplantae; Streptophyta; Magnoliopsida; Poales; Poaceae.
AGAUCAAAUUGUUGGUCGUGCCUCGGUACGCACUGGCAUUAUUGGUUCCUCCUUCCUGAUGAACUGUAAUGCCAUUAAUUUGGUGUUUUGGGGAAUUUGGGCUGUUACUUUGAAAAAAUUAGAGUGUUUAAAGCAAGCUAACGCUUGAAUACAUUAGCAUGGAAUAAUGAAAUAGGACGUUCGAUCCUAUUUUGUUGGUUUCUAGGAUUGACGUA